Molecule: long non-coding RNA, 488 nt
Organism: Humulus lupulus (European hop)
Lineage: Eukaryota; Viridiplantae; Streptophyta; Magnoliopsida; Rosales; Cannabaceae
Exons: 3
Source: RefSeq, a predicted model, not a curated record
GCUUAUUUUCCUUGGGUGUAUUGUACUUUUCAUCUCCCUAUUCCUUGAUGUUGUGAGUAACUGUUAUUAAUUCAAGUCUUCUAGACAGGUUGCAGGUUGCUGCUUCACUAACAAGGAAGUCGAUGCUCAUAUACCCAAUUACCCCAACUUGCCACCACAUUUAAUUUGUCAGCUUCACAAUGUGACUAUGCAUGACUGGAUUAAAUUACUAAAAGAAACGGUGUUGCAAUUUUAAAGUGUGGCCAACCUUAAAGGUUCUACCAUUAUAGGAAAAAGUGUUUCUUCAUAGCCUUGUGGACUAAGUUGAGGAGAAGAAGGAACCACCAAGAACCAGACACAGUAAGAGGUACAAAUUCAUAGAUUUCCUUAGUAGUUUACGAUUCCGAUUUUUCGUUUUCAUUUCUUAGGAUGGCUAUGAAUUUGUGGGGCGUUUUAUAUAGUUUUAAUCUGUGUUUAGGGACUAUAAACUUUCAUUAAGGGGUUGUGAA